Molecule: small nucleolar RNA, 146 nt
Filed under: Chinchilla lanigera (long-tailed chinchilla)
Lineage: Eukaryota; Metazoa; Chordata; Mammalia; Rodentia; Chinchillidae
Description: Small nucleolar RNA SNORA61 (ENSCLAG00000021518.1)
Source: RNAcentral
AGCCUCCAGUUCCCUUUCCCAUUGGAUCUGAAUGCUAGUCUUGGAGGUCAUAAAGGAGGAAAAUAGGCCGGGGACACAGCUCAGCGGCAUACGCGCCUGCCUGGCAAGUGCAAGGUCCUGAGUUCGAUUCCUGGUACCAAAAAAAA